GGGCUCUCAAACCCCGCCCAUAUUCGGACUUCCUGAAUGGAGCGGUCGGCGGGUCGCCCGUACGGUCGCCUCAGGGGAGAGAGAUGGAGGAGUGAGGAUAGGGGUCUUGGAAAUGGUCUGAAGGCCUACCUGCCCGUCAAUGGGAUGUACCCGCGCUCGGAACCAUCUGAAAGUCAUUCUCAGGAGCAGUGACCUGGAACACUGGACAGUUGGCAUUAAACAUCCAAAUGUAAUCUACUGUACGGUACCAUACAAUCCGCAAAAGGUGAAACAUGAAGCGACGAUGAACCGGAGCUAUCGCAAAGAAACUAUCUCCUUUCAACUAAUUACCGUGGUUUUACUUUCCGUGCGUAACUUUUCGUCUUGUGACAUUCAACUUUCGGAUUGCUAUCAUAGGAUUGUAAAUCAGACUCAAUUAGGCCCUGCUACUGAACAGCAUUUGGGGUUCAUUCAAAGUGUGGUUAAUGAUCUUUCCACCCUCGAAGGCGCCAUUCUAUCCGUCCAAACCUCAAGACAACGCAUCCCACAGUGCUUAUUUAAUGAGAACAUGGGACAAGCUGUAUUUUGAGCAAAGCAAUACGCUCAUAAUCAAGUAAUACUUUGACAGAAGGCAUCAACAGCUAGCUACAUCAUCUGUACUUCGACAAAAAUCAAACAAACUCACUUUUACUCUUUUGUUACCUAGCAUGGAGAUUAAAAAGAAUAUUUGGCGAAUUCAUCAAAAAGUCUUAAAUCUUAUCUUUUGCCUGAAGGUUUAUAACACCAAAACAACUUUGCUAUGUUUUAGCUUUGCAUUAUUAGCAUUAAGCUAGCUGACUUUGGCAAGACAAAAGUGUCUGUGCUUUUUUUCUCUUGCUUUUAUGUUCAGUCCGACACUAAACUUCAACUAGGAAUGACAAUAAACAGCUUGUAUUUUU
This is a long non-coding RNA of Hippocampus zosterae (dwarf seahorse), 917 nucleotides long. RefSeq lists it as uncharacterized. The record is from RefSeq and is a predicted model, not a curated record. The transcript is spliced from 3 exons. Lineage: Eukaryota; Metazoa; Chordata; Actinopteri; Syngnathiformes; Syngnathidae.